UUCUAUAACUACUGGUCUGCAACUGUUCUGAUGGUAGCAAUUGGGGCAUUCCUCUAUAGGAAAGAAAUGGGUACCAGAUUAAAUACCUCUUUCUUAGCAAAACAGAAAGUGGACUUAUCUGUAACAACCAAAG
Small nucleolar RNA from Talpa occidentalis (Iberian mole), 133 nucleotides. RefSeq annotates it as small nucleolar RNA SNORA41. The record is from RefSeq and is a predicted model, not a curated record. The transcript has a single exon. NCBI's taxonomy places the organism in Eukaryota, Metazoa, Chordata, Mammalia, Eulipotyphla, Talpidae.